RNAcentral lists this long non-coding RNA (12344 nucleotides) under Homo sapiens (human). RNAcentral describes it as "HSALNT0334190". Lineage: Eukaryota; Metazoa; Chordata; Mammalia; Primates; Hominidae. The record is from RNAcentral.
AGUUAUUUCGCAACCUUCAUCUGUUCCUGGAAGAUACCCGUAGCCUGCCUUCCUUCUUGACAGGCUGAUUUAGGGGUGCUCCCCAAGAAGAUCAGGACUGCUGAAAGAAUGAAGAAGAACUUACUUGGCCUAGGAUGUGGCUAGAGAACGGAGCGCACUUUCACUUACCUGGCAAGGUGGUUUUGGAAGUUUCCACGGAAGCCUUCCCAGGGCCGCUGCUGCCCGUCCUCGCCUAGAAGAAUUCCAUUCUCCCAUCCCAGGAAGGAGAGUGCCCUGCGUGCCACGAAAGAGCCCAGGACCCACAGGACAAAUACGUCACUGGCAGACCUGCCUUCGCCAGCGCCAGCCCAUCUCUGAAACCUCCAGCAUUUGUGCCCCGGUCCGGCCCCUCCCAGGCCUGACUCUUUCCGUGAACGGUCACUGCGCAGGAUCAAGCUACAAUGAAGAGGAGGGAGGCAGUCUGCGCGCACCGCCAUUUUCUAGGAACUGGGAAGCCCCCCCACCCCUUAGGAAGAUCCAUCCCUGUGGAACCUUGCCCAGGCUUACCAGCCUUUGCUGAGGUUGAUCUAUUGUCCCUCCUUGUCCCCAUCAAAAUAUCCAGCACUCCACCUUCAGGGAGUAGACUUGACCCUCAAAUAGCAAGUUCAGCCUUCCCAGGUCUAGGUUCCCUGGGAGGUCAAGAUUCGUCUGGUUCCUUAGUACAGAGGGCUAGCUGUGAGUUGGAAUCCCCCUAUGAGCUUUAGAAUCAGUCAAGAGGAAUUGGGCCCCUUCCCUUCAUCCCUCUUCUUUUCCCUUUUUGUCCCAGAGCUCAGCUCUGACUCAAAAGUUUUUCCAUUUACCAUCAACAUGGAAACUUGGCUCCUCACGUAGGUAUAUUAUCCCCCUUUUGUACAUGGUCUUGUUGAUCCAAACUCCCUUUCUGUGAAAGAGGCCUGUGGGGCUCAAGAAGCCUGGUCAGCCAGCCAGGCUAGUCCCACAUACCUCAGAACCAGUUUAAUAAAGGCUCUAUGUCAUUCUUUUUUGCUUGGGCUGAUUGGUGUGCUGAUUCAGAAGACCUUGAUAUUUUAUUCUUUCCCCCAAACCAGCUCAAUUGGUGUUUGUGCUAGAGGGAGAUGGACCAUGGGGAGGGCUGUUAUAAGGGAUAUCCUUGGCCCUCCCACUUCCCCCUUUGAAGGAUGCCCUUGUUAUCUUAGGCAGGGACCUGAUACCGGUUGGUUCAGUAGAUAUCUGGCAGUUUACUCUGAGCAUUUACCUUAUAUUAGGGCAAGAACUAAAGGAACAAAUAUAUCCACCUCAAUGUCAGGUCAAAUGGGAGGAUGUGGAUGGGAGUAAAGAGUGAUUAGUAUUGAGGUCGUGGAAUUUUAUUGGUUACUAUUUUUAUAACUUUGGUCUUCGAGUCCUUGAAUGAAGGUAAACGGAGACUUAUUAGGGAACAAAUUACUAGUGGCAGGGUGGUGGUGUCCUGGUGUCCUGCUUAGAAUGUGAAGAGAGUGCCCCAUCAUUGGCCUAUGCUGUGCAUCUGGGAGGUGGUAGGCCACAGUCCUGAACUGCACAACUGGUAGUGAAAUUCAGAGCAGAAUGCAACAUUUAUUUAAUGGGGCCUCACAGUUGGCCAGUGUCCCUGUGGCCUUUCCCCUUCUUCCUUCCACUCUGUGUCAUGGAGACCCGACUUGAUUUGGCAAGAGAACAACGUACACCUAAGAUUUCCCGAAUAUUUCCCAGCAAGGACCCUGGCUGGCUAUGUUUCUACUUCAGUGGUGACCACAGCAGAUACUGGCAGUUUUCUGUUAUGGCUCUGGGGUCUUUUAAGGAGCAGGAACGUGGAAUAUGUACAAACCUGGAGCCACAGUCAAGUACUAAGCUCCUUGAAGCACAAGGCAUGAGAAUAUCAUGUUUUCUUUUCCUUAGAGGAUUUAUGAAUUAAAACUAAGGAAUAAUUUGUAAUCAGAAUAACACCACCUGGCAGGGAUGUUGAUGAGCUGAGGAAGGCUUAUUUGGAGAUUUCUGGUAUUUUCCAGCUCUGAGACUCCAGACCUAAUAUCCAUGUAAUGGCCAUUAAUGUCUUGUAAUUUAUAACAGUUUUAUCAGUGAUCCAUUACAUUAAUCAUCAUGAGUUGGUGACUUAUCAAGUCCUACAGGUUAUUUGUUAUUUGUAUAACUAUAUAGAGCUAUUUAAUUUACAAACACAAUACUCUUUUGAGGUAGAUACCAGAACCAUUUUACAUUUGAGGAUAUUGAAGCUAGGAAAAAGACUCAGCUCUUGAAGGAAUGGACAUGGGGUGCCCUUGCCUUCCUUGGGGAGAGAGCCACCUAAUCUGUGCAGCUGUAGUUAGGGCCUGCCACCUUAUUCCUCCUCUCCAUCCAGCCCCUACAUUUUGGAAACAAAAAGGCAGCAGUGAUCUGGGAAUUAUUUAAUGCUUAGUUUGACAGGACAAAUUUUAAGGACCUUAAGAGCAACCUUUUAUUUCUUACCAUAUGAGGCACUGGGACAGGCACAGAGAAGUCAAUAUUAUUUGCCCAGUGCAUUUCUUCAUGGCUUCUGCUUUUUAAUCUUAGGCUCACUUUUUUAACCUCAUUGCUCACAUGUUAUGAUUCCUUCCAGAAAGUUCACUGAAAUUCUAAUGUCCCUUGCUGUUCCUUAGGUAACUUAGGAGUAACUUUCCAGCUCUUCCCCUAACUAGUUGUGUGACGUGCAGCAGGCUGCUUAACUUCUGUGUGUCUCAGUUUUCUCAACUGUAAAAUGAAUGAUCCAACCCCUGUGUCAGAAGGAUGGGUGAGGCUCAUGAGGAAUAACACAUAAGAAAUAUGGGAUGCUUACCACAGUGUUUGGUAAAUAACAUGAGUUUCCUCUUCCCUCUUUGAACAGUCCUUUGUAUUCUGCUGAGAGCUUUCCUGUUCAUGCUGCCUCACAACCAAAAGGGGAAAGAAUCCUGAGUCCUGUGCUCAUGAUUUCUCCCUUUGCUAGCUGGUUCAAGGCCAAUCCAGAUACCAUGGUAUUUUCUGAAAGAGUCCCACCCUUCUGUGCAAAAGCCUUCCUCCCAGGGAGACUUGAUAUGACUGAUUAACAAUCCAAUUAACACUCUGGAACAAUCUAGAAGGGCUGUGGCUCAUUACCCUCAGCAAUUUUCCACCCAUUUAGUCUCCAAGCCAUUCCCUGGAAGAGACAAGUGGAUCUGAUGAGUGGGGCUGUGCCAUGAGACCUCCAGUAUUUAUGGAGAAGCCAGUCCUUUCUUCCUUCGCCAGGCCUCAAGAUUUCCCAAUGUGCCUCUAUUCUUACAUGGCGGAUGGGAUUCUUUGCCUUCAUACAGGAAGGAACUGGAACCUCAAGGCAGACAGGACAAAUACAAAUCUUGAAAAUGACCAUGACUCCUAGUUGGUCCCUACUUGCCUCCUGGUUUCACUAAGUAGAGGGUCACUCCAGGUAGAGCCCUAUCCAGCACACUGCUCCUUCCCCCACCUUUAGAUGUGGACAGUGGGUGGACUGGGCCCAUAGCCUGGACCUGGACAGCUGUGUCCUCCCAACCAGACUCUUCUGAUUCUGCUGCGCCUCACUCUUUCCUACUUAUCCUUGCCUAGAUCCCUCUUACUCCAUCUUUCCUGCUCAGGUCACAAUGGACAAUAAUCUCUGACCCCUGCCCCAGCUAGACUGGCACUGGAGAGCUGAGAGAGCCUCCUGUCCAUGGAGAAUUCUGGCAGAGCUGCUAUCUUCAGCCCCGUCUCAACUCUCCAGGGUCCUGUGCCCUUUGUCUACCUCUCCCAGGCCUGACUCUCCUCCCACUUGCAUGGACAUUGUCUUUCCUAGCUCUGGGCUGCCUUCUCAGCCUCAUGUUUUGCCCUUUUUCCUGCUGUGGGAGCCAGCCAUCACUGUAAUGCAUGAGUGCGGGGAUGUGGUGUGAAGGGAACUCCAGUUCUGGGGUCAGAAGAUUUAAAGUUUGAGACCUACUUCUGUCCCAUAAGCACUAUAAAAACUAAGCCAAAUAAACAACUUUGAUCCUCAGUUUGGAAACUUUUGUAAUGUGAAGAAAUUAGACUUUUGAUAAAGAAUGGAAGAAAUGGUCAUCCAUGCUAAAGAAAUGUUUGGAAUGUUGAGAUGCUAUAGAAUCUUUCUGACAGUGCUGCUGACUUUGUAUACCUCUACAUAUAAAUGUCUCCAGUUUUGUUUCUUUUCCACCAUUCUGCAGACAAAGCUGAAUGCAGGCAGGGAAGGAACCCUCACUGUUGAGCCCUGGAAUCAGGCACUCUUGUCUGAGCCCCUUCAUCUUUGGUUUGGGGUAGAAAGCACAGGUGGCACCCUUUCUCUAGUUUUCUCACUUCUGGCACAAACUUUCAUUUACUGUAACCUAAGAAAGGAUGGAAGACCUUGAGCCUCAAGAAAAAAGCCCCAAGAAAAUUCCAUGCCUCUGCUUCCCUCACAAAUCAAAGCUGAGCUAAUCCAGAGCAGUUUGCAUGAUUCCUUAGAAGAAGGAACCUCACCAGGACUCUUAAAAGCAGGGAGACCAAGGAAGAAUUGGGCUUCUGCACUUAAUCACUGUUGAGGUCCUCCCUGCCUGCUCCCAGACCUCUGGAGUGACCCACAGUCUUCUCUAUUUACCUUAAAAACAGAAUCCAACCUCUUCAUGUAGGUGAGUCACCCCAUCUGCAGUUAUAUGUCCUGGCGCACCCCAGCUCUCCCCAAACAAACUGUGAAGCAUCAGCCCUACCCAAGGAACCUGUCCAGCCAUGCACACUUCAACCAACCCUCUCUGACCUUAGGAUGAAACCGUUUCUCUAACAUUUUUUUUCACUCACAUUGGGACCAGUGUGUUGAUUCAGAAGACCAAAUUGGGAACUAAUUUUAAUCUCCCUACCUCAAGCAAAUGGAUGGUCUUCGGACUAGAGGGGGCCCAGGUAUUAAAGGGUGUCAGAGAGGGCUGGUCAAUGGGCUACCAUCCCACCACCCCUUGGGAAGAGCUCACCUCCCUUCUCAAGUGGAGAGCCUCUGGCCCACUCUCAGCCCUCUGAUCAGAGCCAGGCUCUCACUGAGUGAUUUUUCUGGCACCUGGCAGUCUUCCCAUCCUAGAAGGGGAACAGUGGGAGGUUUUUGGUGGCAGCAUUUGUGUCAUUCCAGAAUACUGGAUGUUAGAUUUUGGCUGUUGGGAAAAUCCUGGAACAAAGAUGAAAGGUGAGAAGGAUUAGGGAACCAAUGAGUGAGGGGCAGGAUGGCCAUCCUCAGCCCAGCAGUGAAGUCUACAGUUUUCCAGGUGCUUCCAUCUACUAUUGGGGCUGUUGUGUAUGUCAGAACAUUCAGGGCAUCAGGGAGUACAGAGGUUACCAUGUGCUCUCUGCCACUUCCCUGCCUCCUUUCUUCUCUCAAAAUCAUAGAGACCAGUGCUGAUUUGGCAGGGAAUAUCGAACCUCUUGAGAUUUUUCCAGCUGGAACCCUGGCUCUGUACCUAGUUUUUUAACACUAUUUUGACCAUAGCAGUCUUUGGGAGCUGCUUGAUGUCUGGGCUCUGGAUUUCCCAUGAAGUCAAGAAUGAUGGAUUCACAAGGGCCCACCGGGAAUAUGGAGCCAUGGUCUGAUUAGAGCACAGAGAGCUACUUCCUGCCUUGGGUAAAUCCUGAAAUUCAUCAUGCAUGAUUUUCCUUUUAAUAAGAUUAAGGAGAGCUUGUAUAGAUAUUGAACAGGGGAUCCUGAUAGCCAUUGAGGGAGGCUGGAGUAGAUGACCUCUGAUAGCUUUUGCCAGCUUUGAGAGUCUAUGAACUUAACAUAUGUAAUAUUAUCAUUAAUAUGCUAUAAUUUAUGUUACUUUAAAUGAUGCAUAUCAUUAAUAAUAAUGACUGUUAUUACGCUGCCUUUUCCGAUCCAAUAUGUGAUCUGUGUAACUACAUAGUACUACAGAAGCAUACUUACUGAAGUCGAUACUUACCAUUGAUAUCUUACCAAAAAAGAAACUGUGGCCAAGAAACAGCCUCUCAACCCAGAACCCCCAAACUAAACAGCCUCUUUCUCUCAGGAGGAACUGAACCUGCCUUGGUUUACUCAGUUCUCUGCAACUACCCUUCUUCCAGACCUGCUUUGUUCCCUCCACCACACCUCCUCUCAAGCUCCUGGGACAGCUAGAGAUGCCUCCCUCAACCCCUGCUUGUCCAGGCACAGGAUCCCAGUCCUUAAUGUGCCCCUGUUAGACCCAAAGCCAGUCACUUUUCCAUACCAGGUCUUAAUUUCCUCUUCUGUAAAGUGACUCAAGAUUUUGAAACUUAAAAUCUGGUGAAUUCUUCCAAGCACAGGUGCCAUCUUAUGUUGUAUGGCCUUUGGCCAAUCCAUCUGUCCAUCUUUUCUUGGAUAGUAGUUUUGCCAGAUCUAUAAGUUAUCUUGAAAUUAGUGAAAACAGACCAAUCUUUGAUAACCAGAGAUCUAAAGCAUCAGCUUAUGGCCCUGUCCUUCAGGGUAAUGUGUAAGGCCCUCAAAGCCAUGCACAGUGUCUUUCACUUUGACUUUUAUCUCUCUCAAUACCAUGCACAGUGCUAGGCACACAGCAGGUCAGCAAGAGCAUGCUGAAUGAGCACAAACAGAUUUCACCAUCUCUCCCACUUUUUCUGCUGGACUCAGUCUUCUGAAAGUCAAGGCACAUAUGCCAGGAUUCAGGCCUUCGACAUGAAACCCAGACAGCUCUGCAUUUUUACAUCCUCUGCAGCUCUGUAAGAAACUUCAGAGCAAAUCCAUCUCUUGAGUGUUUACCCAACUUUGUGCCUCAAUAGCUGUGUGACCUUGGGCAAGUUAUUUAACUCUUCUCUACCUGAGCUUCCCCAAUAGAGAUAUUAAUAAUAAUACUUAUUUCAUUGUGUUGUUUUGAUGAUAAAUUGAGAUAAUCUAUAUAUAGCUCUUAGACCAGUACACGGCACAUAGGAAACUCUCAAUAAAUGUCAGGUAUGAUUAUCAACUUACUUUUGCAGUUCAAUAUUCACCUGAAAAAUGCCAACCUAAUGUUCUCCUAAUGAAAGUAUAAGAACUUUUCCAUAAUUAGUCUGGGUAGGUAAGGCAAUCACCCCAUCUUUGGUAGACAGGAAGGACCAUGUCUUCCAAGAGAUCCCCACAGGAAUGGGUGGGAAGAGCAUAACAGGAAACCCAAGAUGAAAGCCUUCAGGAUUAAUAGCUGCAACUGAGGGCUUAAAUCCCUUCUUCUUGGCAGCAGUACUCCUCAAAUGGUGAGCAAGUUACCUGCUAGUUGCCAGGACAUGCCAAGUCCAUGACAGAGGGGACAGGUGUAGUGCACUGAGGUUUUUACUUCACAACAAAGUGGAAACAAUGUCAGAUAGGUCAGCUAACACAGGUCUCCAUGGUUUGGAAAAUGGGAUAUCUUGGAUGUAGCCUAGGAGAUUCAAGGGAAAGAAAACUCAUCCUUGCAAAGUAUAUAAAUGUUAGUGCUGCUGUGGGGUAUGCCAGGGAGCACCACUGAACACAUGUUACAGAGGAGGUGCAGGAGAAGAGGGGGUGUGCUCAUCACCAACUAACCAGAUGGACAGCCUGGACGGAUGGGCUGGGGCUGUGGGAGGUUGGUCAGUGGGCUGACUGGCUGUGGACCAGAUGGGUUUGGGGAUCCCAUGGAGAUGGGUGAAAUUCCAGCUCCAUUCUCUCAUCAGUAGGAAACCGAGCAUGUGACUGUUGACAUCUUGGAAAGGACUAGACCAUGAGAUCUUCCUUGCUCCAAUCCCAGACAGACUCCGGCAUGAGAUAGUGGAGGAGAAUUCUGGCUCCAGGAGCAUAUUCAGCUGAUGGCUAAAGGGACCAGAAGAUCAAUUAUCCCAACAAUAAUAGGAAAAUAACCAGGGAAGAGCCUGUAAUCUGGGCCUACUUCCUCAGAAUAGGUGAGCAAAAGAAAGAUGUCACACAUUAUACAAAAUGAGAACAUGGAGAAAGAUCACUGAACCUGUCAGAAGUUCCUAAAUAGCUAUGAUAGGGGUCACAGGAUAGCCUUAGAGGUAAAAGCUAGCUUCUCUCUUUGGUCUGGGGAAAACAUGCCAAUUUCUCUCUGAUAGAAGCUUCAGGGAAGGGAAACCACGAGCCUUGUAAACAUUGACUGACUGUGAGGUACAGAACCUUAAUUGAGAUGAUGGAAGCUACAACCUUUGGUUUAAGGGCUGAAAGCACAAAUAGAUAUUUUUAAACUGUGAAAGUGACAGGGUUCCUUUUAGAUAUUGGGGCAGUAACCUGGAUGGGCCUGAUUCUAUUAUGCAAAGGUAGAAACCUCAGGUAUUUACCUGUGAGAAGCCUCCUUGUCACAACAAAUUCUUCUUGCUGCCAACUGCAUCACAUGGAAAGGCUAGGUUUGAUAAUCUAGGUGGGAUCUUUAAAACGGUGUAUGCAGGUUUUGAGUGCUGCCUGCCAAUAGUCUCUUCUUUUGAAUAAGUGUGUCUAUUUUUCUGGCAGCAGUUUGCAGAAAUCCCACUGGUUGUAAGAACAGAGAAAGCCCCACCCAGCUUGCUGAAGCCCUGAGACCUUCACUGCAGGCACACUGAGAACAGAAGAUACAGAAGUACUCAGGCUGUACUUAUGAAAAAUCAAUACUCACAGACUUUUAAAGAAAAGUUACUUUGCAUUUGGGAAGGGGGAAUCCUGAGACAGUGACUGUUGCCUAGCCUGGCUGACAAUUAUAUCCCUUAACAAAAAAGUGUUCCUGAGGUCUUUUCGAAUUUCAACACUGUAAUGGUGAAAAAAUAGAAAAUUCUCUUGAGGGAAACCUGAGGGAUAUGUCAUUAUCGAGAAUGUGGGGAAAGGGGUCAAACUGUUUUUCCAGAAAGCUUAAUAAUCAACUAGGCAAAUAUUGUAUCAGCUAUCUCACCUCUGCAAAAGAUUGAAGAGCUGGAGGCUUCUGUAUAUCAGGAAAGAGGAUCUGGGUAGGUAUCUUACCUGAUAGGGACAGGGGUAUUAAAAUAGAAAGAGGCGAGAAGAUGGGUUUUGUCUCUGAAGCAAGCUGUUGUCAGGCUUUUUAUCUUAGGGGGAAGAAGUUAUAGGCUCCUGGGGCAGAGCAGCCCAGACAAGACUGGAGAUGGAAGGCUCAUUCAACAAGCAACCUCCUAGAGGUCACCAAGAGGGAAGAAGGGGUGACCACAGGGUGGGCUGGGCAGUGCAGUCUGAAUCCUGAGGAAUUUUCCUGGCCAGGGGAGGGAACGUGUUUCAAGGCAAGGAGGGCCAGAAAGGCCGGUGUACGGUCAGAAGGAACUGCUUCACCAAGGUGCUCUUGCCUGGAAUUAACACUCUGAGGUUUCUCGCAGAUCUUAGGCUAGUCAAGGGUUUCCUGAUUAGGCUACAAAUGUGAAUCAUUCAGUCAGUAUAAAAUACAAUCUAUAACAGGUUGACGGGAAGAAGAAAGGAUGGGAAGGCAGUGUGAUGUCAUGGGAAGAACUAAGGCUUUGCAGCCAGACUUAACUGUGUGACCUUGGGCAAGUUACUUAACCCCUCUGAGCUUCAGUCCCUUCAUUUAUAAUAUGGGCAUAAUACUAUCUACCUAAAAAGGUUUUAGUGAUGAUUCAGUGAGAAACAUAUUUGAAGCAACAAGCACAGUAACUGGAAGCUGUAGGUACUCAAUAAUUGUCAGUUUCCUUCCUCUUCUAAAAGCUGUGCUUUCAAGUCAAUUGUAUGUCUAGAGUCGCACUGUCUGGUACAGUGGCCAGUACUAGCCACAUAUGGCUCUCAAGUACUUUAAAGAGGGCUAGUCUGAAUUGAUAUGUGUCAUACAUGUAAAAUACUUUAAAGAGGGCUCAUCUGAAUUGAUAUAUGCCAUACAUGUAAAAUACAAAUCAGAUUUCUAAAACUUUGUACCAAAAAAUACCAUAAAAUAACUUACUAAUAAUUUGAGUGAUUACAUGUUACAAUAAUAUUUUGGAUAUAUUGAGUUAAAAUAUAAGAUUAAAAUUAAUUCCACCUGUUUCUUUAUAUUUGAUUCAACAUGGCUACUGGAAAAUUUAAAAUUACAAUGCGGCUUACAUUUUAUUCUAUUGGACAGUGCUGAUCUAGAUACUAGAAAAGACAAGGUUGGGAAGCUGUGUUCCAGAAGCAUGUUUGUUUCUAUACCUUGAGUUUGGGUUUUGGUUUGUUCUCCCAUGGUUUCCCAGUAAAAGACCCUUUUGAAAAAAAUACCAUCCAGGGCUCAACCAAAACGGGUAGAAGAUACCUACAUGCCCCUAGUAGUCAGGUGUUGUGGUGACCACAGUCCAGGAAAAAGUAGGUAGGGCUGGUAUAUCAGAGAAUGGAGAUGUCAGGUAGGACAGUCAGGACAGCUGGGGAUGGACUGUUCUUUUCUUAGCCUGAAGCUUCUCUUCAGAUUUCUCUACCUUUCUUUACUCUGGGAAGAUGAUCCCAUUUUCUAUUAUUUCAGAAGAUUCCCCCACCUUAUACAUGAACUUGGCAAGAAGCAGGCUCCCACCAGGCAGUAACAAACACAGGUGCAAGAGAAAAUGCCACUUCAAAGCCAUCUUUAGAAAACCCCAGAGUUUCCAGAGAAAUGAACAGCAGACAUUCACAGACAUAAGAAUGUUUUUUUUUUCCCCCGCCCAAGGAGUGUGGUUAGUGGUUGUUUUUAAAACUGUACAUUUUACUGUACAUUUUUUUUCUAGCAAAGGAGAAGAUUGGCAUUUAUAUUCUGACCACAGGGAUGCUGCUUUCCAAAACUCCAAGUCAGAAACAUGACAAACACAAGAGCAAGUACAUAUCAUGUCACGAUAGAACUCGGAACCGCUGAUGAGAAUAGACAGUCAGUUGGUUCCUUCCACUGUUCACCACCUUCCCUCUGUGUGUCUGAAUCCAAAGGCCAAAAAGAAAGCUGGUGUUUGAGACCACUUCCACAAUGGCUAUAGUUUGAAAGGAUGAAUGAGAAAGAUGAGGAGGGAGAAAAGAGAAGAGGAAAAAACAGGAAGGGAAAAGAGAAAGGGUGGAAGAGAUUUCCUUUCAAGUUGCCCAAUUCUGUGGGUGCUUCUGUGACCAUAGAAAGGAUGUGCUUCAGCCCUGGGACUGGCCUCGAAAAUUAUUAUAACUUGAGGUCUCAGGAGGGACUGGCCUGAUCUGUUAAUGACCUUGUCAGGACCAGAAAGGGACUGGGAAAGGCAGAGAGUAAAAGGAGAAAAAAAAAGAAGGAUGAAGAGAAGAGAGGGGAGGGAGGAGAGUGAGGAAGGAGGAAGGCCUGGGAUUUGGAGGCUCUGGGACUAGAGCCGAAGGUAAUUCUUCAUAGACAGUUGCAAAUCCCUCCUUGUGUGUUCCAGAGUGGGGUUGGGGGCCAGCAGCUCGGGUCCAGGUCUGAGGCCAUUGGAACUUUUUGGUCCAGAAUGGUCUUGCCUGUAUGCUUUGUAGGCUGCGUGGUUGGCAAGUGGAAGAAGGAAGAACAAAAGAGAGAAAAUAGAGGUCUAUGGAAGGAGUUGGGAGAGGAAAGAAUGAGUUGGAGAGACUGAGGGAGAGGUAGUGAAUUGCUGAUGAGUAGACAUGGGACAGGGAUGCCGGGGAAAGUCAUUCCAAUCUGUCUACAGCAGGUUCUCCGUGGGCACAUCUCCUCUUCCCCUUCUCUUGCCACUGUCUGGCAGGGAGGGGUUAUCCCUAGAUGGAAAGGAGUCUAUGCACCCCUCCCAUUCCACCCUGUAAUUUCCAAGGAUGGACCCUCCUCAAGAAACCAAGAGCAGGCAUCCCCCCAUCCCACCCUGAGCCACUUUCUUAAGGAACAAACAUGGGACAGCCUUUGGACACAGAAAAGCCCUAGGCAGAGUGAAGACAGGGUCAUGGAUCCCAAAUACCACUGCCAGGAGGCAGGUGGCCUUGGCUUCUACCCUGACCUGGUCAUGAACUCACUGUGUGACCCUCGGCAAUUCCUUUAUGCUCUCUGGAAGGGAGAGGGAGGGUUAAAGAUGGGAUGAUUGCAAACACCUCCCCAAGCUUCAAAAGCCUAUGAUUCUAAAAAGAUUCAGCUUUCCCCCUCCAAGGCUUCUAGAAUUCUCUGUGUCCAGUAAAAAGGAGGGGCACUGCUGUAACCAGCUUGUGCUUCUGGUGUCACUAAGCAAAAAAGCCUAACAUCUAGAGUCAUGAAUAAUUAAUAGGCCUAUAGAACUGGAAAGGGACUGGAGACCUAGUACAAUCCCAGUAUUUUUGCAAAUUGAGAAAUUCAGGUCCCAACAGAUAAAAGGGUCUUGCCCCAGUUAUUCAGCUGGCUAUUCAUGUGACUGUGGAGCCCAGACACAGAACUUCGGACUCCAAGUCCACUGCUGUUUCUGCCACCCCUGCUGCUUUCCUUAAGAGAAGCCCUCCUGGCCUGCCACAUGCUCAAGGGGGACUUUCCAUGCCAGCUUCCCAGAAAGAGUGGCAACAAGCCCAAAGCAACUCC